AUGGAACAGGAUGGCUCUGCCAUAGAAAAAAACCAAGAGCUCUUCAUGAACACUGGGUGCUCAUUAGACACAGAGGCUUCAUUAAUGAGGAUUACUGUCAGAAACCAUCACCAAGAAGCAUCCUGUCCAGCAAGAGCCUACAUUCGUUGGACUCCCCAAAGUCUUCGAACAACAGUGCCUGUGCUACAAAUACCCACGUCUGGGUCCAGUCUUCCUUCCUUACAGAGAAGAGGAAAAUGAGAGAGAGCUUAAGUGAUUUUCCCAGGAUCAUUCAACCAGUAAGUGCAUCUCGCACUUUUUCCUGUGACUUGGAUAAAAAUCGUAGAUGGCAGGCUCAUCGAAUAUUCAAACAAGUAUCUAAGGCCACUCCCCAGCAGGAUACUAGAAGGCCAGCUCCUCAGGGAAGAGAUGCAUAGAAAGGCCACCAGACCAAGGAAAGGAGCCUAGGUUGGGAUGAGCAAAUGGAAACAAGAACCUACAAAAUAAAAUAAAAUAACUGCUCUCCUGCA
Molecule: long non-coding RNA, 509 nt
Filed under: Monodelphis domestica (gray short-tailed opossum)
Lineage: Eukaryota; Metazoa; Chordata; Mammalia; Didelphimorphia; Didelphidae
Description: lncRNA (ENSMODG00000049773.1)
Source: RNAcentral